Mobula hypostoma (lesser devil ray) is the source of this 876-nucleotide long non-coding RNA. RefSeq lists it as uncharacterized. The record is from RefSeq and is a predicted model, not a curated record. The transcript is spliced from 3 exons. NCBI's taxonomy places the organism in Eukaryota, Metazoa, Chordata, Chondrichthyes, Myliobatiformes, Myliobatidae.
CGGAGUGGGCAGCAGCUCGAACUGGCACGGUACUUUCGCUGCCGCUUUCUUUGCUCGUAUGUGUUCAACAAUCUACCCUUGGUUAAGGGUAAAUAGGUAGCGAUCCACGGAUCUACUUGCAGAUCUGACCUUUAAGCCCAUUCAGAAUGAAUAAUGGCAGUGGCUGAAGCAUAUUAUUGGACUAUCCAAAAAAAAAACAGAAUGCCUGAAGUCUGAAACCAAGUCCCUAAUAAGUCAUGGAGGAAAUUUCCCUUCCUUACCAUCUGCAGCACACACAACAUCCAAGAAAAUGUUCAGAUUAUUCCUUUCUGUAGGUCUGCUAUCUUCUGCUAAAGUAUUUUCUCAGCCAUGAGGUGCAGCCUGGACUGGAUCUGAUUAUCAAUGACUAGGUGCAGAACAACUUCGGGUUCCAGCUGCUGCCAUCUGGGAAACGGUACCGCAGCAUAAAAGCCAGGACCAACAGGCUCUGGGACAGCUUCUUCCACCAGGCCAUCAGACUGCUUAAUUCAUGCUGACGCUACUGUAUUUCUAUAUUAUAUUGACUAUUAUAAAUUACUAUAAUUGCACAUUGCAUAUUUGAACGGAGACGUAACAUAAAGAUUUUUACUCCUCAUGUAUAUGAAGGAUGUAAGUAAUAAAGUCAAUUCAAUUCAAUUCAGUUCAAGCUUAGGAAUAAGGUUGUUUUACAGAUUUCCCGAGCAAUCAUUUGGGUUGAUUGUGCUUUGUGAGCUUUGUUUUUCAUUUCUAUCAGCAUCCAGUUUCUUUCUUGAUGCUGACACUCACAAAAUGCUGGAGGAACUCAGCAGGUCAGGCAGCGUCUAUGGCAAAGAAUAAAGAAUCGGCGUUUUGGGCCAAGACCCUUCAUCGGGAUUGGAA